GGAGAUGUGGCUCAGUGGCUAAAAGCACUGGCUGCUCUUCCAGAGGACCUGGGUUCAAGUCCCAGCACCCACA
RNAcentral lists this transfer RNA (73 nucleotides) under Neotoma lepida (desert woodrat). It matches the Rfam family "tRNA". Rfam says of the family: Transfer RNA (tRNA) molecules are approximately 80 nucleotides in length. Lineage: Eukaryota; Metazoa; Chordata; Mammalia; Rodentia; Cricetidae. The record is from Rfam by way of RNAcentral.